ACAUUUUUCGUCGAUAUGAACAGUUCUUGAAGAUAAAUAAAGAGAUUUAUGUACAUACUAUGUAGUCAGAAGCGUUUUUGAUAAAUUUUCCAAAUGGCUACACCAAAAUCGAUCAAAUCAGUAGCGGUAUCAUUGGUGAAAAAUACUUUAUCACCCAGAAACCCCGCUUUUUUAGAAGUCCCUUCACCAAAAUUCUUAAGUACUCCUGAAAAACGCAUCAGAUCACCCGUUUCGCGAAAAUGUUUGAAUUUUUCACCAUCACAAAACGGCCAAAAUUUAAAUGCUCUCAGUACAAGAAGCUCCAAUUUAUUGUUCGUGCCAGAUAACUCGAAAAACAACUGUAAAAAGAGUAUACUCAUCGAUACUCCAACCAAAUCAGAUUUGAUGAAAAAUGGCCUGACGGGCAGAAAAACAGUGAUGGAUAUAUUGGGAAAAGGUUCUUUCGGUACUGUUGUGAAGGGUUCUUAUAGGAAUUCCCUGGUUGCUGUGAAGAUAACCAAAGGCAACGAAAAAUGUCCAUCUGAUGUUCACGCCAAAGGACUACGACACGAAAAUAUUGUCCAGGUAUUGGACAUAAUCAUGAAACCUAAAGCAGAAUACGCUAUUGUGAUAAUGGAGUAUCUGGAAGGAUCCAAAAAUCUCCAAUCCGUUAUAGAUAGUUAUAGCUCUGAUAUAAGCGAGGAAAUAAAGAAGAAAUUCAUCCAACAGAUCUGUCUGGGACUACAGUUUUGCCACUUGAAUGGAAUAUUACAUUUGGAUCUCAAACCCAAGAACAUCCUGGUAUUACCGAAUGAUCAGUGUAAAAUAUGCGACUUUGGCAACUCCUGUAAGGUAGAAAACACGAAGAAUUACAUCUAUCAGAAGCCCAGAAGAAAACUGUUUUUUAGGGAACUGUGGCUUACGCUGCUCCAGAACUACUUCGAGGGCAUGAACCUACAGAAAAAUGUGAUUUAUACUCGCUGGGCAUAACCAUUUGGCAGUUGGAAUACAAGAAAAAUCCCUACGAAAAUUGGAGUAGUUCAAAAUGUUUAGUUUACAACGUUGUCAAGUAUAAUGUUCGCCCGGUAUAUGAACAUCGGAACGAUGUCAUAACAAAAAUCUUCGUGAAUUGUUGGAGCGAAAAUCCUUUCUGUAGGCCAGAAUUGAAAAAUAUUCUGAGGAUGCUGUGAUUGCUUAUUUCUCCAUAUGGUGGAUUAUUUGUUUUAAAACACGAAUUUUAUUAAAUUAAAUAAAGAAUAAAAGUCUU
This is an RNA transcript of Coccinella septempunctata (seven-spotted ladybird), 1246 nucleotides long. It is a transcript of the gene named serine/threonine-protein kinase mos, with no coding region annotated. The record is from RefSeq and is a predicted model, not a curated record. Lineage: Eukaryota; Metazoa; Arthropoda; Insecta; Coleoptera; Coccinellidae. The transcript is spliced from 5 exons.